Molecule: ribosomal RNA, 447 nt
Filed under: uncultured bacterium
Lineage: Bacteria
Description: bacterial SSU rRNA
Rfam family: Bacterial small subunit ribosomal RNA
Source: RNAcentral
GGGCUCGCGUCCCAUUAGCUUGUUGGUGGGGUAAUGGCCUACCAAGGCUACGAUGGGUAGCUGGUCUGAGAGGAUGAUCAGCCACACUGGAACUGGAACACGGUCCAGACUCCUACGGGAGGCAGCAGUGAGGGAUUUUGCGCAAUGGGGGAAACCCUGACGCAGCAACGCCGCGUGAGUGAAGAAGGCUUUCGGGUCGUAAAGCUCUGUCAAGCGGGAAAUGAUGGUACCGCUAGAGGAAGCACCGGCUAACUCCGUGCCAGCAGCCGCGGUAAUACGGAGGGUGCGAGCGUUGUUCGGAAUUACUGGGCGUAAAGCGCGUGCAGGCGGCUUGGUAAGUCAGAUGUGAAAGCCCAGGGCUCAACCCUGGAAGUGCAUUUGAUACUGCCAUGCUUGAGUAUGGGAGAGGGGAGUGGAAUUCCCAGUGUAGAGGUGAAAUUCGUAGAU